UACGAAGGGGGCUAGCGUUGUUCGGAAUCACUGGGCGUAAAGCGCACGUAGGCGGCUUUUUAAGUCAGAGGUGAAAUCCUGGAGCUCAACUCCAGAACUGCCUUUGAUACUGGAGAGCUUGAGUCCGGGAGAGGUGAGUGGAACUGCGAGUGUAGAGGUGAAAUUCGUAGAUAUUCGCAAGAACACCAGUGGCGAAGGCGGCUCACUGGCCCGGUACUGACGCUGAGGUGCGAAAGCGUGGGGAGCAAACAGG
RNAcentral lists this ribosomal RNA (253 nucleotides) under uncultured bacterium. RNAcentral's name for it is "partial 16S ribosomal RNA". It matches the Rfam family "Bacterial small subunit ribosomal RNA", at positions 524 to 776 of the family's 1533-position model. The record is from RNAcentral.